Erinaceus europaeus (western European hedgehog) is the source of this 123-nucleotide small nuclear RNA. The record is from Ensembl. Lineage: Eukaryota; Metazoa; Chordata; Mammalia; Eulipotyphla; Erinaceidae.
AAUAUUUAGGCUUGCUUUGGUAGCAGCAUAUAUUGUAUUUGGAAACUGGAAAGAUACAGAAAAGAUUAGCAUGACCUUUUGUACAAGGAAGGCAUGCAAAUUCAUGAAGCAAAUUUUUCUUUC